GACGAACGCUGGCGGCGUGCUUAACACAUGCAAGUCGAACGGAAAGGCCCUGCUUUUGUGGGGUGCUCGAGUGGCGAACGGGUGAGUAACACGUGAGUAACCUGCCCUUGACUUUGGGAUAACUUCAGGAAACUGGGGCUAAUACCGGAUAGGAGCUCCUGCUGCAUGGUGGGGGUUGGAAAGUUUCGGCGGUUGGGGAUGGACUCGCGGCUUAUCAGCUUGUUGGUGGGGUAGUGGCUUACCAAGGCUUUGACGGGUAGCCGGCCUGAGAGGGUGACCGGCCACAUUGGGACUGAGAUACGGCCCAGACUCCUACGGGAGGCAGCAGUGGGGAAUAUUGAACAAUGGGCGGAAGCCUGAUGAAGCAACGCCGCGUGCGGGAUGACGGCCUUCGGGUUGUAAACCGCUUUCGCCUGUGACGAAGCGUGAGUGACGGUAAUGGGUAAAGAAGCACCGGCUAACUACGUG
Molecule: ribosomal RNA, 468 nt
Filed under: uncultured bacterium
Lineage: Bacteria
Description: partial 16S ribosomal RNA
Rfam family: Bacterial small subunit ribosomal RNA
Source: RNAcentral